This 184-nucleotide small nuclear RNA is filed under the name Dryobates pubescens (Downy woodpecker). Its description in RNAcentral is "Picoides pubescens (downy woodpecker) 7SK RNA". It matches the Rfam family "7SK RNA", at positions 1 to 183 of the family's 331-position model. Rfam says of the family: 7SK was discovered as an abundant small nuclear RNA in the mid-70s but a possible function has only recently been suggested. Two independent studies have found that 7SK RNA binds the CDK9/cyclin T complex (known as elongation factor P-TEFb). The record is from Rfam by way of RNAcentral. Lineage: Eukaryota; Metazoa; Chordata; Aves; Piciformes; Picidae.
UGAUGUGAGGGCGAUCUGGCUGCAACAUCUGUCACCCCAUUGAUCACCAGGGUGGAUUCGGCUGAUCUGGCUGGCUAGGCGGGUGUCCCCUUCCUCCCUCAAUGCUCCAUGUGCGUCCCUCCCAAAGCUGUGCGCUCAGUCGAAGAGGACUACCUUCCCCGAUAGAGACAGUACCAUUCAUCCC